Molecule: unclassified non-coding RNA, 165 nt
Filed under: uncultured fungus
Lineage: Eukaryota; Fungi
Description: sequence contains ITS1, 5.8S rRNA gene
Source: RNAcentral
CUGAGUCGUCUCGAUUUCGAGACCCUCUCACACUUGCGUUGUCUAAACGUUGCUUCGGCAGAGCGCGACGACGUCGCCGCUGACUCCCACGGAGUGCGCGUGUCUCUGCCGAAGGUCCCACACACUUUGACUCUGACGUAGUCUGUUAUCAACAAAAUUGAAACA